Molecule: non-coding RNA, 86 nt
Organism: Fusarium redolens
Lineage: Eukaryota; Fungi; Ascomycota; Sordariomycetes; Hypocreales; Nectriaceae
Source: the annotation of a RefSeq genome assembly
GCCCUUGUGGCCUAAUGGCUAAGGCGUCUGACUUCUAAGAUUAGAAGAACAUCAGAAGAUUCACGGUUCGACCCCGUGCUCGGGCU